CUUGUCGCUCUGGAAUAUGAAGUUCGCUAUUUAUCCACAAGCCAGGUACAACACAGGAAGUGACUCUGCAACCUUUCCCCAACUGCCUGCCACAAAGACCACAGUCCUGAACUGAAAAGACCACCCUGGGAAUAAGAAGCCAUUCAGAUUUCUUACCAGCUAAUUCCUGAAUCUUCC
This is an unclassified non-coding RNA of Chelonoidis abingdonii (Abingdon island giant tortoise), 177 nucleotides long. Lineage: Eukaryota; Metazoa; Chordata; Testudines; Testudinidae. The record is from Ensembl.